AUCGCUGCUCAAGAUGGCCACCGCCCCACCGCCCGCCAACAACGAACAACGACGCGGUCGUUGCGUUGCGGUCAGUCGGUCGCUGCGCGCAAUCGAAAAAAAACAUCGCGGAGUGUUUCGGGUUUAUGGUCGUUGGCUUACAUGGUCUGAUAGUCCGGUCCCGGGUCCCGGUCGGACAGAGUCGUCUGUACAGGCAAGGACGGAACCCAGAUGACGACAAAACUAACCAGCUUCUAUAAGUGCUAUGUGCACGCGUGAGGGAGUGAGAAAUGAGAGAGAUGAAGUGUCGACGGCGCCAACAGGUUCACUUCGCGUGUGCACACAAUGAAUCGCGGACGCGGGGGCCGCCUUGUCGUCGCCCCACAAAAAGCCGUCAAACUGGUAAAGAGCCGCGAGCAAACUCCACGAGAAAGUACUAGCUCAAGUGAACAAAAAACGAGAGAGAGAGGGAAAGGGAGAUGGGAAAUCUGGUAUGCAGUGACCACCGCAACCUAUGGGAAGUACCAAAAGAGAGUUUUAGAUAUUACCUAGCUUAUUCCAUUCACGAAACUUCCAUACAAGUCCUCUCGUCUUUACUGAAUGAAUUUAUACGACAACUAUGAAUAGAAUUUGGGAGCAGAGGAAAUAAUGUUUCAUAAUUAUUGUGUUAGUAAGAUUACGAGUUCAAUGUUAUGACGCCGUAUGAUAUUUUCCUACAUAAAUAUUCAUCUUUGACAUUAUUUUGUUUCUCAAGUUUUUUCAUGUGAUGUAAAAAACGAUAAAAGUAGCAACCAUAAGAUUUUUCAUUCGUUAGAGUUUCUGCUUCAUCGACUGAAUUGAUGAUUUCUUGAAUCAAUAUCCAAAUCCUAAACUAUAACAGCCCUAAAAUUAAUAUUGUUCGAAGUAAUAUUACUCUUGAUUACAGAAACAUCAGCGAGGACAGAGAUUCAGGCUUGCGCCAAAACAGUUUAAAAAUUGCUUGAUUCCCGGUGACAAUUUUUUUCAUUUGCUAUCCGAUGAUAUUCAUACCCUAUUUAAUGUAAUUGGGAUUUUACCAGAAUUUUCUUGUGAAAGAAAUAAAGUCCUGGAUGUUAAGACUCCUGGCCAGCACCGAACAAAUAUCUUUCUUUCGCUCUCUCGUUCCUCCUCAAACAAGGUAAUCUAGACGAGAUGAAACGAGAGCUUUACUGUACACAAGCCUAAGUACAUUGGGAAUAUGGUUGGUAAUGUGUAAGAUAAGCACGCAGGUACACUAUGUGUGAUGUCCGAAGUAUCGAUCUUUGAUCGCGACCUCUCGAUCGCGCGACCCAAGCCAGGAUCGCUUUGAUGUCAUGACCUUAGCCAGUAUUAUUACCGCCAUAAAUCAUCCAUGUUGAAUUGCACUGUGGGGCUCGCGUGAUGAGAGCAUUACCCGAUGAGAGAGCGAGAGAGAGGGAGAAAGAUAGGAAGGAAGAGAGGGCGAGAAGAAGAGGGAAGCUUUCUUGAGAGACCACGUCGAAUAAUCCACCAGGUUGAAUCUGCGCAGGAUAUCUUCUUGCCGGGAUGUAAUACGCCAAGCGAAUCAUCGGGACUCCGGUGAAAGUCGACGAAACGCGCGGUUCUCGUUCUUUCUCCGUCUCUUUCGAGAGUUCACGAGCGAAAAGGCGCGAUAUAUCCUCGUUUCCAGGCUGGUUCUCUCGCAACGAGAUAUAUCUCACGAGGACCUCUCUCCCUCGCGUCGAGAUCUCUCGACACCCGGUUUUGUUUCGUAUUUGUGUACCGAUGGUGAUCACAAUUUACUGUGUAGUACGUCGCACGCGAGAAAUCAAAUUAAUUCCCCGCCCACCGUUACUCGUUCGUCGGGGCAAUCAACACGAUUACCGUAAUCGAGGAACAGGCCAGGCACUCUCGCGUACAAAUGCAUCCAGCAGCAGGAGAGACCCUGGCGCCCAUGGUUUCCCAUUUGACGCUCGAGCUGCCCACGCGGGACCGCGGUCCCUCAAUGUGGGACGUAAUAGUAUGCACUUCCCUCGUCUGCAUAUACCUUUUUUAUUGGGUGUAAGAUGAGUUCAAGGAUGUAUAAAAGUCCUUUCGCAUCAUCCUGACCUGUGGUGGGUAUGCCGCAUCCACUUUAUGAGAAUUCCAUCAGGAAUAGUUUUCCUCGGAAUAUCCACGUGAAAGAGUAGAAAAGUGAAACGGGAAGAGAGAGCGUGGAACGACGAUGACAGUACUGGCAAACCCUCAUAUCGUUUCUAUAUCCCACGGGUAACAGCGGGUUCACUCGAGCGUCCUGGGACAAGCGACCUCGACGGGUCUCUGGGAUAUGAUGUUCCUUCACCCUUUGUACGGAGAGCGGGUCAUUGGACGACCGGAUUAGCUGAACCGAGGUGACCGUGCCAAACGAGACCGGAAAAACAAUCUCACAAAUUAUGAGAUCCAACUGUAAAUACUUUCAUGCGGUAAGGAUAGUAAACGAAGGAAAAGAAUCAAUUUUCCUUUUCUCCUUGGCCUCCGAAAUGUCAAUUUUAUUCGAUAUUUAUUGUCGCUAUGAGCUGAGAUUGACGAAAACUGAUGGUCUGAAAAUUGAGGAUGCAGAAAAGCUGCAGUAACAUCGAGAUAUUUGAUUGAUGCGAGUGGAAUUCAGUAACGCAACGCUCGAAUCAAUGUCACGGCGCAGGGUUUACAACUCUUGGAGAAAAACUGCAUCCACGUGAACGACAGCACUGCGAUUGUACGCUACGGUUGGCUCACAAAUGUCCUUGGGGACGAGAAAACCUUCCGCCAUCGUGAAGAAGAUGUAGAUCGAUUGUCAACGUCAGAGCUUUCCUUUCUUUUCAGAUCUUCGUUGACAGAAUUGCGAGAGACUCGACAGUCGCCGUCAAAGAAAUUGGUCGACCAUUAGAAGCGUUUGACGACAGAAAGGUUGGCUUGUUAGAAGAACGAAUGCGGUACAACUUACAAUUAGUAUACGAGCGAAAGAGAGAAGUCACGAGGAAGCGCCUUCUCGCGAUGAAUGAGCCACCGAGCAGCGGCAAAUCUCCAACGUCACCGUGCUACUCUCACGUUUCAAUGAACGCUUUUGACGGCCUCGAUGUCCGCGCGGAUCCUUUCAAUGGAUGUUAUACGCGUAAUGCGCGAUCGGCUGCACCAACUGACCGCACACGAGCGCGUUAGGUGUUAAUCAUUCCGGUGCCUCGGUACUCAUGAACGAAUAAGAUCGCUUCGAAAAUUUACAUCGCGAGUAAAAACGAGAUUUGCGUCAAAAAAUUUAUUGCAAAAUGACGAAUAAUGAAUUUUCUUCCAACCGAGAAUUGCACGGUGAACGACGCGCAUCGCCGAUUGCGCUGCGUUGCGAAGCAACGAAUAAACUCGUUUUUACUACACUUUGAAAAUUCUUGGCAAUACGGAGGUUAGAGAAGAUUAAGACAGGAAUCACAAGUCCUUGCAACUGACUGAUAGCCGGAACGGUACAGUACACGGGUGGAUGGGCGAGAAGGAAAAUAAGUUUUUGGCAGGCAACAGUAGCAGCUGGUCCAGCGUGUAAGAGACGUCGUUUCGAGCUCGGUGCAGUAUGUUGAUGGGGAUGCUGCGUUCGUGGAUGGUGCUUCUGGCUUGUCAGAAGGGGUGUGCGAGCGAGAGGAGGCUCGCUUGGCCCUCAACGGACUAGGAGACGUUCUGCAUAAUCCAUAGAGAUCGUAAAAGCGUUUUACGAUUCUCUCUAUACUGUGGAAGCAUCUAGUAUGAGUGGCGAACGCGAGCAAGAGAGGAGAGGCUAAGAGGAGAGAGCACAGAAAAAACGAAGUACCUAAUGCGGUAAUUUCUGCAACGUAUAGCCUAUACAUAGUGAAGGAUGGAAACUUGCGCGCAUUGGACGAUAAAAGACGGGGAAACCUGCAGACUACAUAUUUAUACCUAUAGGUUGCCGCGCCUCAAGUGCUUCGGCAGUGCUUCCAAAAGAGCUCUCGAAGUCGCCCGAUUCUCGAUCUUCUUUCUCGACGGUCCAUGCUGUACACCAUCGCCACUAUUCGUGCCGCUUUUCUGACGAACCAAGUGCGUCUCGUUCAGCGUAUAGCCUCGCGAUUGGAUGAGAAUUACGAUGUACCCGGUGCUCGUCACAAUUCCGAAGUGACAGCAUGAGCUGUAAAAAUCUGCUUCAUUCUACAAAAAUACCAACGAAUUAUCGAGCUUAGCUUAUCGAUUCCAUUUACGAUUACAAUUUUUCCUCUCCAUCUUGAAUUUUUGCAUUAAAUUGAAUGAUUAAUUGGAGCAGACUUCAUUGGCUGAUUUCCUGGAUUUCCUUCUCAAAUGUAUGGCCUGACGAACGACACUAUUAUUUAUUUUAUUGAACAAUCCUUUUUAUAUAU
This is a long non-coding RNA of Venturia canescens, 4322 nucleotides long. RefSeq lists it as uncharacterized. The record is from RefSeq and is a predicted model, not a curated record. Lineage: Eukaryota; Metazoa; Arthropoda; Insecta; Hymenoptera; Ichneumonidae. The transcript is spliced from 7 exons.